UACGUAGGGUGCAAGCGUUAAUCGGAAUUACUGGGCGUAAAGCGUGCGCAGGCGGCUAUGCAAGACAGAUGUGAAAUCCCCGGGCUCAACCUGGGAACUGCAUUUGUGACUGCAUGGCUAGAGUACGGUAGAGGGGGAUGGAAUCCGCGUGUAGCAGUGAAAUGCGUAGAUAUGCGGAGGAACACCGAUGGCGAAGGCAAUCCCCUGGACCUGUACUGACGCUCAUGCACGAAAGCGUGGGGAGCAACGAGG
Molecule: ribosomal RNA, 252 nt
Filed under: uncultured bacterium
Lineage: Bacteria
Description: partial 16S ribosomal RNA
Rfam family: Bacterial small subunit ribosomal RNA
Source: RNAcentral